GCUAUUUUGGCAGAUUAGUGCAAUAAAUUUAGAAUUUAUUUAUGUAAAUAUUAUUACAAAUAGUA
This 65-nucleotide transfer RNA is filed under the name Tarnania fenestralis. RNAcentral's name for it is "tRNA-Leu". Lineage: Eukaryota; Metazoa; Arthropoda; Insecta; Diptera; Mycetophilidae. The record is from RNAcentral.